UUACAGGCAACAGACAGUAGUGAACACAAAGUAGAUGGAGACAAUGUCAACCUUCAGGUUGUCAAUGCUACAACUCCAGCUCAAUACUUCCAUCUUCUCAGACGUCAGGUGGUUCGGAACUUCAGAAAACCAUUGGUGGUGAUAGCUCCUAAAACCAUCUUACGUUUACCUGCAGCAACUUCUACCUUAGAAGAUAUGUUACCUGGAAAAACAUUCUUACCAGUGAUUGGUGAUAAGAAAGUUAAAGGUGACAAGGUCAAAAAGGUCAUUUUCUGUAGCGGAAAACAUUUCUAUACAUUGGAUAAGGAAAGGGAUUCCAGGAAGUUAGAAGAUGUAGCACUUGUUAGAAUAGAGGUACUUCUAAAAAGUAAAAUCAAAGAAAAUUCAAAAUGGAAAUUCCCUGAUCAAAUGACAAAAUCAAAAGCUCAAACAUAUCAAACAAAUGGACAACAACUGUCAUAUUCCUGACGUGGUACAGGCAUUAUUUUAAGUAGAAAAAUGGUGGAUUAAACCUGGUUUUCAUAGCUACACAACCUCUCACUUGUAUGACAUUUGCAGAAAAUAUCAUUACAUUGACAAUGAUGUGGGUCUUUGUGGGAACAAAACAAACAGACACAAUUGGCAAAAAAGUUGGGGUAAUGCAGACUGAAAAUUAUGAUUCCAUUUUUUGAGAACUUUUUUUUUAAUUAUGUGGUUUUGAAAAAAAAUUUCCAUUAAAACAUUUAUUUUGUAUUCAAUACACAAGAAGGAGAUGUUCAUACACUAGAAAUGAUUUUGACCCUGAUUUUCCAGUAAUUGAACCUUUACACAUAAAAGAGGUAGUGUGCCAUGGUGUCCUACACUGUAUUGACACAUAUUGUUAUGUUUUUGAUAUAUUUAAAAGAGAUUUGUUUUCACCACUUACUUAGAGAUAACUAUUUUUGUAUAUGCUUUUCAUUGUAGAGUCUAUGUCCAUUCCCAGCAGGGGAAAUUCAACAAGAAGUAACCAAAUAUCCUAAUGCUACAGGUAUAUUUUAAUUAUUACAAUUUGUAUGCAGCAAUGAUAUAUUUUUGAAUUUGCAUAAUGUUAAAAGAAGGUAGUAGAAAAAGUAUUAUAAAAAAAGCAAAAUCAAACAGAUUCAAGAUGUUAAUUUGAUUACUUAACAAAGUUCUCCCUCAGAGAACAGUAUUUAGCAUCAAACGAAACACUAAGAUAAUUCAAUACACCUCAUCCAUAUUUGGAAAUCUGUCCUAGUUAACCUGAGAAUCUGUUCCGUUUGAACUAUUGACAUCAUACAACAAUCACUUUUCCAUUGUGGCGUCAGAUAUUUGGUAUUAUGCUCUUCAAAAUUUUUGGAACCUUUGUGAUGUCCAGUAAUGGCGGACAAAUAGCAAUACAAUGUAUGGAGAUAUACGAAUCAUAUGUCGAUCAUCAAACACCAAACAAUACAUGCCAUUUCUAACCUCAAAUUGAGUAUUAUGACACCUACUGUUAGAUUGAUUGAUCGAUGGUUGAUUUACACUACAGCAGCACAUAAGGUUACAUCAUAACCAGCUAACAGUUAGAAGAAUAUUUCACAGUAUUUCAAGCAAGAAUUUUUUUUUACCAGGAUAUUCAUUGUUGUUUUUCAGAUUUCCUUUGGAGUCAAGAAGAACACAGGAAUAUGGGAGCAUGGACAUUUGUCUCUCCAAGGUUUAAUAAUUUAGUUGGAUGCCAGGUUUGUUUUAAAAUAUAUUUGUAUACAAUGUAAUUAGUUCCAAGAAAUACCUCUGAAUCAUUUCAACUGAUUGGUCAUUUGAUAAUAUACCAGAAAUAAAUAAAUGACAAACAAAUUGCUUAAAAAUACAUUUUACAUGUUGGACGGUAUUUUAUAGAAAAUAAUAAUUUCAGUUUUUUUAUUUAUUACUUAUUAUUAGCUGGAGACGUGAAUUAAACAGACAAAAAAGCAUAACGAAAUGGACAAACAAAAUUUAAAGAGAAUAAUGGUUAUAAUAGGGUGCUAAAAUUUUAAAGAAUAGACUAUUAUGAACAAAAAUAAGAAGACUAGAGAAAAAUGUAGAAAAAAUGUGAAAUACAGAAAUUAAGAAACUCCAUCCUGAACCUAUUUCUAUGUCACUUAUAAAAGAGGACUUUACUUACUGAACUUAUUUUUAUUAUAUUGUAGUUACGGUAUGUUGGAAGAGAUCAUUUAGGUUCUCCUGCUACAGGUAUUGGUGAAGUACACAGACAAGAAAGUAUACAAAUCAUCGAGGACACAUUUAGUU
Molecule: long non-coding RNA, 2244 nt
Filed under: Mytilus galloprovincialis (Mediterranean mussel)
Lineage: Eukaryota; Metazoa; Mollusca; Bivalvia; Mytilida; Mytilidae
Source: RNAcentral